RNAcentral lists this long non-coding RNA (555 nucleotides) under Rattus norvegicus (Norway rat). RNAcentral describes it as "long non-coding RNA NONRATT006562". The record is from RNAcentral. Lineage: Eukaryota; Metazoa; Chordata; Mammalia; Rodentia; Muridae.
UAAGGCAGGUUUUUUGAAAGUAUUGUUGAUUUGGUUUUCUUUGGGGGGGUGGGGGUGGAAAGCGAGGAAAAGAUUUCUUAGAAAAGAAGGGGGCAGGCUGAAAAAAGCAAAACCAUCAUGAAUUGUGUUGUCACAUCGUGCCGGUGUCACAACCAGCUCAGUAGACUGCUGCACUGAAAACAUUUCUGUGAGAGAAUCCUGCUGCAUCACAGAAGCUGGAAGUUCUGAUGUUCCACUGAAAUCACAAUGGGAAGUCUUGACUUGACUGGCACCCUCAGGAAGACCCUAAGCCUCUAGCAGAUGAUAUCAUCUCCAGCAUGUUAUAGAUGUGGAGGAUCCCUUGGGAUAUUGAGAAAUACCAGAGGCGAAUUGUUCCACUGUAGUCACAGUAAUGAAAGGCAGUAAUAGAAAUAAAGAUCAUUCAGCAGAAGGAGAAGGGGCCGGAAAACGACCAAAACGGAAGUGUCUUCAGUGGCAUCCGUUGCUAGCCAAGAAACUUCUGGACUUUUCAGAAGAGGAGGAGGAAGACGAGGAAGAAGAAGAUAUUGAUAAAGU